Molecule: ribosomal RNA, 258 nt
Filed under: uncultured bacterium
Lineage: Bacteria
Description: partial 16S ribosomal RNA
Rfam family: Bacterial small subunit ribosomal RNA
Source: RNAcentral
GUCCACACGGUAAACGAUGAAUACUCGCUGUUUGCGAUAUACUGCAAGCGGCCAAGCGAAAGCGUUAAGUAUUCCACCUGGGGAGUACGCCGGCAACGGUGAAACUCAAAGGAAUUGACGGGGGCCCCGCACAAGCGGAGGAACAUGUGGUUUAAUUCGAUGAUACGCGAGGAACCUUACCCGGGCUUAAAUUGCAGAUGAAUUACGGUGAAAGCCGUAAGCCGCAAGGCAUCUGUGAAGGUGCUGCAUGGUUGUCGU